Molecule: ribosomal RNA, 401 nt
Filed under: uncultured bacterium
Lineage: Bacteria
Description: bacterial SSU rRNA
Rfam family: Bacterial small subunit ribosomal RNA
Source: RNAcentral
AGUGAACGCUGGCGGUAGGCCUAACACAUGCAAGUCGAACGGCAGCACAGGAGAGCUUGCUCUCUGGGUGGCGAGUGGCGGACGGGUGAGGAAUACAUCGGAAUCUACCUUUUUCGUGGGGGAUAACGUAGGGAAACUUACGCUAAUACCGCAUACGACCUACGGGUGAAAGUGGGGACGGCAAGGCCUCACGCGAUUAGAUGAGCCGAUGUCCGAUUAGCUAGUUGGCGGGGUAAUGGCCCACCAAGGCGACGAUCGGUAGCUGGUCUGAGAGGAUGAUCAGCCACACUGGAACUGAGACACGGUCCAGACUCCUACGGGAGGCAGCAGUGGGGAAAUAUUGGACAAUGGGCGCAAGCCUGAUCCAGCCAUACCGCGUGGGUGAAGAAGGCCUCGGUUGU